GGGGAUGUAGCUCAGUGGUAGAGUUUCAGCUUUGCAUGCGGAAGGACCGGUGUUCGAUUCCCUGCAUCUCAA
This 72-nucleotide transfer RNA is filed under the name Nematostella vectensis (starlet sea anemone). It matches the Rfam family "tRNA". From Rfam's summary of the family: Transfer RNA (tRNA) molecules are approximately 80 nucleotides in length. Their secondary structure includes four short double-helical elements and three loops (D, anti-codon, and T loops). Further hydrogen bonds mediate the characteristic L-shaped molecular structure. tRNAs have two regions of fundamental functional importance: the anti-codon, which is responsible for specific mRNA codon recognition, and the 3' end, to which the tRNAs corresponding amino acid is attached (by aminoacyl-tRNA synthetases). tRNAs cope with the degeneracy of the genetic code in two manners: having more than one tRNA (with a specific anti-codon) for a particular amino acid; and 'wobble' base-pairing, i.e. permitting non-standard base-pairing at the 3rd anti-codon position. Lineage: Eukaryota; Metazoa; Cnidaria; Anthozoa; Actiniaria; Edwardsiidae. The record is from Rfam by way of RNAcentral.